GACUUUGUCAGAAGACUUCCAGAUGACUUCCAGACGACUUCCAGACGACUAACAGGUAAGUCGUCCCAGAAGUCUUCCAGAUCUGAAAAACCUGCACAUCAAAUCCAGAUCUGAAAAACCUGCAUAUUCAAAAACGUUCAAAUGACUUAAAAAUAGAGAAAAUGAGUGGAAGAUUAGAUAAAUCUACAUUUAUAGAACACACAAAAAUACAUAUCUAAAAUUAAUAGAUCUACCUCUAAAUUAGUGGAAGAUGAGUACCAUUUGAUUAAAAACCUGCAAAAGAGAUAGAUUAGUAAGAAAUACAUGAGACAAAACUGAAAAAUUCAUAUAAAGUUUGGUGUUUUCAAGUCAAAGAGAUUAGAGAGAGGUUGGAGAGUUUUAGAAUGAUGAACAUUACAUUUUUGUUGCAGCCAUUUGAGAGGAUGAGAGAGAAUGUGUAAAUUUUUCUUUAUAUAGGGAGACAAAAAAUCCAAUUAGAUUAAAUAUUUUUGACUCAGACGACUUCCUGGACGACUUACAUUUCAGUCGUCUGGUGAAGAAAUUAAAACAGACGACUUACAUGUAAGUCGUCCAGAAGAGUUUAAUAUUUUUAGCGGGAAAUUAAAUAUUUUUAGCGGGAAACUAAAAUAGAAGACUUUCCAGACGACUUACAAGUAAGUCGUCUGGACGACUGAAAUAUACGUCGUCCGGGUAAAUUAUUUAACAGACGACUGAAAUAUAAGUCGUCCACACCCUAAACAUAACCCCUAAACUUAAUUAUCUAAUUAAACACUUCAUAAAACCAAAUCAAACUUGAAA
Molecule: long non-coding RNA, 798 nt
Filed under: Brassica rapa (field mustard)
Lineage: Eukaryota; Viridiplantae; Streptophyta; Magnoliopsida; Brassicales; Brassicaceae
Description: long non-coding RNA (BRAP_LNC000790)
Source: RNAcentral